UACGGAGACUGCAAGCGUUACUCGGAAUUACUGGGCGUAAAGGGUGCGCAGGCGGCUAGGUAUGUCAGAUGUGAAAAUGCGGGGCUUAACCUUGUAGCGCGUUUGAAACUACUUGGCUAGAGUUUUGGAGAGGUAAGUGGAAUUUCUGGUGUAGCGGUGGAAUGCGUAGAUAUCAGAAAGAACACCAAUGGCGAAGGCAGCUUACUGGACAAAUACUGACGCUCAUGCACGAAAGCGUGGGGAACAAAAA
This 250-nucleotide ribosomal RNA is filed under the name uncultured prokaryote. RNAcentral describes it as "partial 16S ribosomal RNA". It matches the Rfam family "Bacterial small subunit ribosomal RNA", at positions 524 to 774 of the family's 1533-position model. The record is from RNAcentral.